This 939-nucleotide ribosomal RNA is filed under the name uncultured bacterium. Its description in RNAcentral is "bacterial SSU rRNA". It matches the Rfam family "Bacterial small subunit ribosomal RNA", at positions 9 to 904 of the family's 1533-position model. The record is from RNAcentral.
GAGUUUGAUCCUGGCUCAGGAUGAACGCUGGCGGCAUGCCUAAGACAUGCAAGUCGUACGAAGGGGCCCAAUGAAAGGAAUUGAAAUUCAGAGUGCUUGCACAAAGAAUGGAUUUUCUUGGAUUUGGAUUUUCCCCUUAGUGGCAAACGGGUGAGUAACACGUGGGUUACCUACCUCUAAGAUGGGGAUAACAGUUGGAAACGACUGAUAAUACCGAAUGUGCUCUACGGAGUAAAGAAGCCCUUAAAGCUUCGCUUAGAGAUGGGCCUGCGGCGUAUUAGCUAGUUGGUGGGGUAAUGGCCUACCAAGGCGACGAUGCGUAGCCGAACUGAGAGGUUGAUCGGCCACACUGGGACUGAGACACGGCCCAGACUCCUACGGGAGACAGCAGUUAGGAAUAUUCGUCAAUGGAGGAAACUCUGAACGAGCAAUGCCGCGUGAACGAUGACGGCCCUAUGGGUUGUAAAGUUCUGUUGUUUGGAAAGAACGAUAGAUAGAGGAAAUGCUAUCUAUGUGACGGUACCAUUCAAGAAAGCCACGGCUAACUACGUGCCAGCAGCCGCGGUAAUACGUAGGUGGCGAGCGUUAUCCGGAUUUAUUGGGCGUAAAGGGUGCGCAGACGGUUUAUUAAGUCUAAAAUCAAAUCUUGGGGCUCAACCCCAUUCCGUUUUAGAAACUGGUAGACUUGAGUAUGGUAGAGGCAAAUGGAAUUCCUAGUGUAGCGGUGGAAUGCGUAGAUAUUAGGAGGAACACCAGUGGCGAAGGCGAUUUGCUGGGCCAUUACUGACGUUCAGGCACGAAAGCGUGGGGAGCAAAUAGGAUUAGAUACCCUAGUAGUCCACGCCGUAAACGAUGAGUACUAAGUGUCGGGUUACCGGUGCUGAAGUUAACACAUUAAGUACUCCGCCUGAGUAGUACGGUCGCAAGGCUGAAACUCAA